RNAcentral lists this small RNA (353 nucleotides) under human gut metagenome. RNAcentral's name for it is "cspA thermoregulator". The record is from RNAcentral. RNAcentral also lists the same sequence under 1 other name.
GUGGUAUACUAAUAAAAGUAUUCAAAAUGCUAUCUUAGGCGCGCAUGUUUUUGUAAGUCAUGGUUCGUUUUGAUGAUUUACAAAAAUGUGCGCGCUUUAAAUUGCACCAACGGAUAUGAAUUUUUUAGAUGGAGGUACCAGAAUGAACAACGGUACAGUAAAAUGGUUUAACUCAGAAAAAGGCUUUGGAUUUAUUUCCAACGACGACGGCAGCGGCGACGUAUUCGUACAUUUCUCCGCGAUUGCUUCCGACGGCUACAAAACGCUCAACGAAGGCCAGAAGGUCACGUUUGAUACGGAAGCCGACCCGAAGAACAGCAGCAAGGUAAGAGCGGUCAACGUUUGCCCCUGCU